AUGGAUCAGGAGGUGAUUGAGCACCUUGAGGCCAAAGUGAGGGCUGACAGCGCGAGAUCUCACCCUCUCAUCGAUUUUUUCAUACCAACCAUCGACAGCGAGCACGACAUAUGA
Molecule: ribosomal RNA, 114 nt
Filed under: Triticum aestivum (bread wheat)
Lineage: Eukaryota; Viridiplantae; Streptophyta; Magnoliopsida; Poales; Poaceae
Description: partial small subunit ribosomal RNA
Source: RNAcentral